AACGAACGCUGGCGGCAUGCCUAACACAUGCAAGUCGAACGGGAUCCUAGCUUGCUAGGUGAGAGUGGCGGACGGGUGAGUAACACGUGGGAAUCUGCCUUUUGGUUCGGGAUAACCGCGGGAAACUGCGGCUAAUACCAAAUGCCCUCGAGAGAGGAAAGAUUUAUCGCCAGAAGAGGAGCCCGCGUCCGAUUAGGUAGUUGGUGGGGUAAAGGCCUACCAAGCCGACGAUCGGUAGCUGGUCUGAGAGGAUGAUCAGCCACACUGGGACUGAGAUACGGCCCAGACUCCUACGGGAGGCAGCAGUGGGGAAUAUUGGACAAUGGGGGCAACCCUGAUCCAGCAAUGCCGCGUGAGUGAUGAAGGCCUUAGGGUUGUAAAGCUCUUUGCCAGGGAAGAUGAUGACUGUACCUGGAGAAUAAGCCCCGGCUAACUUCGUGCCAGCAGCCGCGGUAAU
RNAcentral lists this ribosomal RNA (457 nucleotides) under uncultured bacterium. RNAcentral describes it as "bacterial SSU rRNA". It matches the Rfam family "Bacterial small subunit ribosomal RNA", at positions 29 to 524 of the family's 1533-position model. The record is from RNAcentral.